This 465-nucleotide ribosomal RNA is filed under the name Vreelandella stevensii. Its description in RNAcentral is "partial 16S ribosomal RNA". It matches the Rfam family "Bacterial small subunit ribosomal RNA", at positions 338 to 795 of the family's 1533-position model. The record is from RNAcentral. Lineage: Bacteria; Pseudomonadati; Pseudomonadota; Gammaproteobacteria; Oceanospirillales; Halomonadaceae.
CCUACGGGCGACUGCAGUGGGGAAUAUUGGACAAUGGGCGAAAGCCUGAUCCAGCCAUGCCGCGUGUGUGAAGAAGGCCUUCGGGUUGUAAAGCACUUUCAGUGGGGAAGAAAGCCUUGGGGCUAAUACCCUCGAGGAAGGACAUCACCCACAGAAGAAGCACCGGCUAACUCCGUGCCAGCAGCCGCGGUAAUACGGAGGGUGCGAGCGUUAAUCGGAAUUACUGGGCGUAAAGCGCGCGUAGGCGGUCUGAUAAGCCGGUUGUGAAAGCCCCGGGCUCAACCUGGGAACGGCAUCCGGAACUGUCAGGCUAGAGUGCAGGAGAGGAAGGUAGAAUUCCCGGUGUAGCGGUGAAAUGCGUAGAGAUCGGGAGGAAUACCAGUGGCGAAGGCGGCCUUCUGGACUGACACUGACGCUGAGGUGCGAAAGCGUGGGUAGCAAACAGGAUUAGAUACCCUUGUAGUC